AGGAAGGCAGAAUCCAUACGUCUAAGGACAGGUCUGGAGAAGAAUAACAUAUGUUGUGCCUGGAGUCACAUCAUCUGAGAAUAGAAGCAGAAACUCUGCAGCGAGCUAUUUCCUACAACCGAAUGACCCUGGGCAAGUCCUUUGCCUCUCUCUGCGGUAGUUUCCCACCUGUAAGAGGAGAAUAAUCAAAUAGCCUCUCCACUGGUGUGAGAAUUACAGGCUUCUCCAGACGUGGCUUGGAUAGACAGGUAACUCUUCAGCAGAAAGGUUCCGGAAGGUUCCUCACACUUCCUACCUACAGGCCAGUCACAUAUAGAAGAGGACUCCCCAGAUGCUGAAGAAAGAAAGCUCCCCAUUCGGAUGACUUGGACCUCCCAGACAGUAAGCCUGCAUCUUGCGAGCAAAGUAGCAGCCUUCUGCUUCCUGUGGAGUUCCAGUUUGACUGGCAUUGUGCUUGGUGGGUUUCCAGUUCCAUCAGCACCUAGGUGGUGGUCCUAGCAAUGGAAUCGAAGUCUUACCCACAGAGCAGCACUAUAUGUAACUGUCAAGACGUGGAUUCAUUAGCUCCAAGUUCAGUUCUGGAGGCUGGAAGUCCAAGAUCAAGAUGCCCUCACAGUCGGGUGCUGGUGAAGACUCUCUUCCAGGUUGCAGACUAGACUUCUCAUUGCAUCCUCACGCGGUAGAAGGCGCAAGCCAGCUCUCUGGGGUCUCUUUUAUAAGGGCACCAGCCCCAUUCAUGAGGGCUCCACCCUAAAGACCUAAUCCCCUCCCAAAGGCCCCAGCUCUUGACGCCAUCACCUUGGGCCUUAGGUUUUCGACUUACGAAUUUUGGGGAGACAAAAACAUUCAAACCAUAGCAACAGGAGUCUCCCAAAAGUUAUUUAUUCCUUUGGAAAGGAUGUCACUAAGGGCCACACUGCUUGUGGUAUUUGAGCCAAUAACGCCAUCCACCCACACCAGUCUGCCUUUACAGUGUCUAUUCAUGGCGCUUCUAAGUAUAGGUACGAGCAUCCACUUAUUUCCUUAUAUCUUCCAGUGUAGUCAAACCCAAGCAUUCACACAUUAAAUAUUUUAUUUAUAUUAUUUUUUUAUAAAUUACUUUCCAUUUGUUCCUCCUUUAUAUUGGGGCUUUAUAUUGUGGGGUUUUAUUUUGG
RNAcentral lists this long non-coding RNA (1154 nucleotides) under Equus caballus (horse). RNAcentral's name for it is "lncRNA (ENSECAG00000054185.1)". Lineage: Eukaryota; Metazoa; Chordata; Mammalia; Perissodactyla; Equidae. The record is from RNAcentral.